GACGAACGCUGGCGGCGUGCUUAACACAUGCAAGUCGAACGGUAAGGCCCUUUCGGGGGUACACGAGUGGCGAACGGGUGAGUAACACGUGGGUGAUCUGCCCUGCACUUUGGGAUAAGCCUGGGAAACUGGGUCUAAUACCGGAUAGGACUACGCGAUGCAUGUCGUGUGGUGGAAAGCUUUUGCGGUGUGGGAUGGGCCCGCGGCCUAUCAGCUUGUUGGUGGGGUGAUGGCCUACCAAGGCGACGACGGGUAGCCGGCCUGAGAGGGUGUCCGGCCACACUGGGACUGAGAUACGGCCCAGACUCCUACGGGAGGCAGCAGUGGGGAAUAUUGCACAAUGGGCGCAAGCCUGAUGCAGCGACGCCGCGUGGGGGAUGACGGCCUUCGGGUUGUAAACCCCUUUCAGCACAGACGAAGCGUAAGUGACGGUACGUGCAGAAGAAGCACCGGCCAACUACGUG
RNAcentral lists this ribosomal RNA (464 nucleotides) under uncultured bacterium. Its description in RNAcentral is "partial 16S ribosomal RNA". It matches the Rfam family "Bacterial small subunit ribosomal RNA", at positions 28 to 507 of the family's 1533-position model. The record is from RNAcentral.